UCCCGGUUAACCCGGGCAGUCUUGUUUGAACAUUCAACAAACAAUAAGGGUUGCGCUCGUUGCGGGACUUAACCCAACAUCUCACGACACGAGCUGACGACGGCCAUGCAGCACCUGUCACUGAGCUCCCGAAGGCACUCGAUGGUUUCCCAAAGAUUCUCAGGAUGUCAAGUCUCGGUAAGGUUCUUCGUUUAGCCUCGAAUUAAACCACAUGAUCCACUGCUUGUGCGGGUCCCCGUCAAUUCCUUUGAGUUUUAAGCUUGCGCUCGUACUCCCCAGGCGGAUCACUUAACGCGUUAGCUUUACGACACAGAGGGUCGAAACCCCAUAUCGUUAGUGAUCAUCGUUUACGGCGUGGACUAC
RNAcentral lists this unclassified non-coding RNA (363 nucleotides) under uncultured bacterium. RNAcentral describes it as "contains 16S-23S intergenic spacer region". The record is from RNAcentral.